UCAUCUUGGCGGGGUGCAAUGUGGUGUUCGGGAGGGUCCAUUCGUGCCGUGAGCUCUGAUGUCCAAGUCCCCCUGACCGGGGCCAUCGCCCGUUGAGGGUGCAAGGCCUGUUGGGCAGGGCUGCGUCUCCGUUCUCGGCGCGUCGGGUCCCUUCCUUGGAGUCGGGUUGCUUGAGAGUGCACCCCAAAGUGGGUGGUAAACUCCACCUAAGGCUAAAUACUUGCCACGAGACCGAUAGCAAACAAGUACCGUGAGGGAAAGUUGCAAAGAACUUUGAAGAGAGAGUUCAAGAGUGCGUGAAACCGUUCGGAGGUAAACGGGUGGGAGCGCGAAGGUCGAAUGGAUGGGGAGGGAUUCAACUUGGCGCGGCGGUCGGCCGGGCCGGGGUGCGCUUGGGCGCGGCUGGUUCCGUCCCUUCGGGGGCGUGCAGCCUGCCGUGUCCCGCAUCCUGCCCGCUCGCCAGGUUGCCGUGCCCUGUGCAUUUCCCUGUACCCCCUCUCCUAGUAGGACGCCGCGACCGGCUGUCGAGGGGAGCCCAGGAGCUGGUCGGAGCAGUUGCGCGGGCGAUUAGGGAACCUAGUUCUCUGCGUCCGGUCUGUCUGUCUCCUUCCGCCCGCGGGUGGCUCCCUCCGGCCGAGGAACUGUGCGAGCUGGGCCGCCUCUGGCGGUCCCUCGUUCACGGACGCGUCCCCGAACUGUCGGUGCGGGUCGAAAGAUCCCCACGGGUGGCGGCGGGUGGACGCGCGCCAGCCUUCGGGCUGCGCGUGCGGACUCCGUGCGUCAGCCGCCGUCGGUCAGGGUGCGGACUCCCGCUAUUGUGGGCGCUGGGGGUCGGCGGCGAGUAGGUCGGUUUCCCACCCGACCCGUCUUGAAACACGGACCAAGAAGUCUAACGUGUGGGCGAGUCUUCGGGGACCUGUGAACCCUGUGAAGGCGAAAUGAAAGUGAAGGCGCGCGCGUGCUGGCGCUCUCCCUGUCGGGUCGCUUAGGCGGUCCGGCGUGCGGUGGGUGCCGUGCGUGCGCGUGCCUGGGUGGGAUCCCCCGUCUCUCGGCGGGGGCGCACCACC
This 1067-nucleotide ribosomal RNA is filed under the name Neoleptodesmus sp. MPE04648. RNAcentral's name for it is "partial large subunit ribosomal RNA". It matches the Rfam family "Eukaryotic large subunit ribosomal RNA", at positions 125 to 762 of the family's 3401-position model. The record is from RNAcentral. Lineage: Eukaryota; Metazoa; Arthropoda; Diplopoda; Polydesmida; Rhachodesmidae.